RNAcentral lists this ribosomal RNA (253 nucleotides) under uncultured bacterium. RNAcentral describes it as "partial 16S ribosomal RNA". It matches the Rfam family "Bacterial small subunit ribosomal RNA", at positions 524 to 776 of the family's 1533-position model. The record is from RNAcentral.
UACAGAGGAGCCAAGCGUUGUCCGGAUUGACUGGGCGUAAAGCGCACGCAGGCGGCACCGCGCGUGGGGUGUGAAAUCUGGCCGCUUAACGGCCAGGCGCCAUCCCAUACGGCGGAGCUGGAGUGAUGCAGAGGUCGAUGGAAUUGCCGGUGUAGUGGUGAAAUGCGUAGAGAUGUGGAGGAACACCAAUGGCGAAGGCAGCCUUCUGGGCCAACACUGACGCUCAUGCACGAAAGCGUGGGGAGCAAACAGG